RNAcentral lists this ribosomal RNA (465 nucleotides) under Vreelandella stevensii. RNAcentral's name for it is "partial 16S ribosomal RNA". It matches the Rfam family "Bacterial small subunit ribosomal RNA", at positions 338 to 795 of the family's 1533-position model. Lineage: Bacteria; Pseudomonadati; Pseudomonadota; Gammaproteobacteria; Oceanospirillales; Halomonadaceae. The record is from RNAcentral.
CCUACGGGUGGCAGCAGUGGGGAAUAUUGGACAAUGGGGGCAACCCUGAUCCAGCCAUGCCGCGUGUGUGAAGAAGGCCCUCGGGUUGUAAAGCACUUUCAGUGAGGAAGAACGCCUGGUGGUUAAUACCCAUCAGGAAAGACAUCACUCACAGAAGAAGCACCGGCUAACUCCGUGCCAGCAGCCGCGGUAAUACGGAGGGUGCGAGCGUUAAUCGGAAUUACUGGGCGUAAAGCGCGCGUAGGUGGCUUGAUAAGCCGGUUGUGAAAGCCCCGGGCUCAACCUGGGAACGGCAUCCGGAACUGUCAAGCUAGAGUGCAGGAGAGGAAGGUAGAAUUCCCGGUGUAGCGGUGAAAUGCGUAGAGAUUGGGAGGAAUACCAGUGGCGAAGGCGGCCUUCUGGACUGACACUGACACUGAGGUGCGAAAGCGUGGGUAGCAAACAGGAUUAGAUACCCUUGUAGUC